RNAcentral lists this ribosomal RNA (407 nucleotides) under uncultured bacterium. RNAcentral's name for it is "bacterial SSU rRNA". It matches the Rfam family "Bacterial small subunit ribosomal RNA", at positions 28 to 428 of the family's 1533-position model. The record is from RNAcentral.
GACGAACGCUGGCGGCGUGCCUAACACAUGCAAGUCGAGCGGGGUCCAUCCGGUAGCAAUACCGGGGAAGACCUAGCGGCGAACGGGUGAGUAACACGUGAGAAACCUGCCCCGAAGUCUGGGAUAACCCGAGGAAACUCGAGCUAAUACCGGAUGUCUUCUUCUGAUCGCAUGGUCGGAUGAAGAAAAGAUUUAUCGCUUCGGGAGGGUCUCGCGGCCUAUCAGCUAGUUGGCGGGGUAACGGCCCACCAAGGCGUCGACGGGUAGCUGGUCUGAGAGGACGAUCAGCCACACUGGGACUGAGACACGGCCCAGACUCCUACGGGAGGCAGCAGUGGGGAAUAUUGUGCAAUGGGCGAAAGCCUGACGCAGCAACGCCGCGUGCGGGAUGAAGGCCUCGGUUGUAA